Photinus pyralis (common eastern firefly) is the source of this 701-nucleotide long non-coding RNA. RefSeq lists it as uncharacterized. The record is from RefSeq and is a predicted model, not a curated record. Lineage: Eukaryota; Metazoa; Arthropoda; Insecta; Coleoptera; Lampyridae. The transcript has 3 exons.
CUCCCUUUAAAUACGUAUCAUGAGCCUGUAUAUAGAUGCAUACAGGGUGGUCCCUCUCCUGAGUCCUGACUGCCUAAAUUUGGCCUAUGAUUUGGCAUAGUCCCAGGCUUUUUGUAUAGGUACCUACGUAUAUGAGGCUCUAACUAAAGCAAAGGGAAGCUCGCUUUAAAGUAAAUUGCAGUGCGGCGACCAUAACGCCAAUUGGUACCUUCUUACCUACAUUUAUUUGGAAUCCGAAUCAAACAAAAUCUCAAUGAUGUCGGUCUGUCUGUAUACUCUCAUUUCCGGCUAAAUCGAUUGGAAUCAAACUUGGACAUAAAAGGGCAGAAUCGCGCAUGCGCAGAUUUGCGGGUGAUGUCUGUGCUAGCCACAGCAAAUUUUUCCAAUUAUUAACGAGCGGCCGAGUUCGUUUAUGAUUUUGAACUUUCUGUCCGUCCGUCCGCCCAUCUGUGUACAUGAUAACUUGGUACGCCAAGUUUUAUCCAAGACUGCUCUACCGAGCCAACCCACUCCCGAACCCGGAUUCGAACCAGGGACCCCUUAGCACCACAGUCCAGCGUUAACUGAACUGCGCCACACGGGCCGGCCUAAUAAUAACAGAUUGUGACAUAAAAUUCAGUGGUUAAUAGUCGGUACAAGAAAGAAUAAAAUGAUUACUUCCUGUAAACACACUUUCAAAACAACAAUCAAAAUAAACGCUA